ACUCCUACGGGAGGCAGCAGUGGGGAAUUUUGGACAAUGGGGGCAACCCUGAUCCAGCAAUGCCGCGUGUGCGAAGAAGGCCUUCGGGUUGUAAAGCACUUUUGGCGGGAACGAAACGGUGCCGGUUAAUACCUGGCGCUAAUGACGGUACCCGCAGAAUAAGCACCGGCUAACUACGUGCCAGCAGCCGCGGUAAUACGUAGGGUGCAAGCGUUAAUCGGAAUUACUGGGCGUAAAGCGUGCGCAGGCGGUUCGGAAAGAAAGAUGUGAAAUCCCAGGGCUCAACCUUGGAACUGCAUUUUUAACUCCCGAACUAGAGUAUGUCAGAGGGGGGUGGAAUUCCACGUGUAGCAGUGAAAUGCGUAGAUAUGUGGAGGAACACCGAUGGCGAAGGCAGCCCCCUGGGAUAAUACUGACGCUCAUGCACGAAAGCGUGGGGAGCAAACAGGAUUAGAUACCCUGGUAGCAUCGUCU
Molecule: ribosomal RNA, 474 nt
Filed under: uncultured bacterium
Lineage: Bacteria
Description: bacterial SSU rRNA
Rfam family: Bacterial small subunit ribosomal RNA
Source: RNAcentral